This 440-nucleotide ribosomal RNA is filed under the name uncultured bacterium. RNAcentral's name for it is "partial 16S ribosomal RNA". It matches the Rfam family "Bacterial small subunit ribosomal RNA", at positions 338 to 795 of the family's 1533-position model. The record is from RNAcentral.
CCUACGGGUGGCAGCAGUGGGGAAUAUUGCACAAUGGGGGAAACCCUGAUGCAGCAAUGCCGCGUGAGUGAAGAAGUAUUUCGGUAUGUAAAGCUCUUUCAGCAGGGAAGAAGAUGACGGUACCUGAUUCAGAAGCCCCGGCUAACUCCGUGCCAGCAGCCGCGGUAAUACGUCGGGGGCAAGCGUAAUCCGGAUUUACGGGGUGUAAAGGGAGCGCAGACGGCAGUGCAAGUCUGGAGUGAAAGCCCGGGGCUCAACCCCGGAACUGCUCUGGAAACUGUGCGGCUAGAGUACUGGAGGGGCAGGCGGAAUUCAUGGUGUAGCGGUGAAAUGCGUAGAGAUUAGGAGGAACACCGGUGGCGAAGGCGGCCUGCUGGACAAUAACUGACGUUGAGGCUCGAAAGCGUGGGGAGCAAACAGGAUUAGAUACCCCUGUAGUC